GGCCUCGUAGCUCAGUUGGCAUGAGCGUUGACUGUAUUAAAGCCUUCCUCUUGCUGGCGUGGGUUCGAAUCCCCCCGAGGCCA
This 83-nucleotide transfer RNA is filed under the name Schistocephalus solidus. It matches the Rfam family "tRNA". From Rfam's summary of the family: Transfer RNA (tRNA) molecules are approximately 80 nucleotides in length. Their secondary structure includes four short double-helical elements and three loops (D, anti-codon, and T loops). The record is from Rfam by way of RNAcentral. Lineage: Eukaryota; Metazoa; Platyhelminthes; Cestoda; Diphyllobothriidea; Diphyllobothriidae.